AGAGUUUGAUCAUGGCUCAGGACGAACGCUGGCGGCGUGCCUAAUACAUGCAAGUCGAGCGGACCACUUCGGUGGUCAGCGGCGGACGGGUGAGUAACACGUGGGCAACCUGCCUGUAAGACUGGGAUAACACCGGGAAACCGGUGCUAAUACCGGAUAAUCCUUUCCUUCACAUGAAGGAAAGCUGAAAGACGGUUUCGGCUGUCACUUACAGAUGGGCCCGCGGCGCAUUAGCUAGUUGGUGAGGUAACGGCUCACCAAGGCAACGAUGCGUAGCCGACCUGAGAGGGUGAUCGGCCACACUGGGACUGAGACACGGCCCAGACUCCUACGGGAGGCAGCAGUAGGGAAUCUUCCGCAAUGGACGAAAGUCUGACGGAGCAACGCCGCGUGAGCGAUGAAGGCCUUCGGGUCGUAAAGCUCUGUUGUCAGGGAAGAACAAGUAUCGGAGUAACUGCCGGUACCUUGACGGUACCUGACCAGAAAGCCACGGCUAACUACGUGCCAGCAGCCGCGGUAAUACGUAGGUGGCAAGCGUUGUCCGGAAUUAUUGGGCGUAAAGCGCGCGCAGGCGGUCCUUUAAGUCUGAUGUGAAAGCCCACGGCUCAACCGUGGAGGGUCAUUGGAAACUGGGGGACUUGAGUGCAGAAGAGGAAAGUGGAAUUCCACGUAGCGGUGAAAUGCGUAGAGAUGUGGAGGAACACCAGUGGCGAAGGCGACUUUCUGGUCUGUAACUGACGCUGAGGCGCGAAAGCGUGGGGAGCAAACAGGAUUAGAUACCCUAGUAGUCC
This 791-nucleotide ribosomal RNA is filed under the name uncultured bacterium. RNAcentral's name for it is "bacterial SSU rRNA". It matches the Rfam family "Bacterial small subunit ribosomal RNA", at positions 8 to 796 of the family's 1533-position model. The record is from RNAcentral.